RNAcentral lists this ribosomal RNA (460 nucleotides) under uncultured bacterium. RNAcentral describes it as "partial 16S ribosomal RNA". It matches the Rfam family "Bacterial small subunit ribosomal RNA", at positions 338 to 795 of the family's 1533-position model. The record is from RNAcentral.
CCUACGGGCGGCAGCAGUGAGGAAUAUUGGUCAAUGGGCGUAAGCCUGAACCAGCCAAGUCGCGUGAGGGAUGAAGGUUCUAUGGAUCGUAAACCUCUUUUAUAAGGGAAUAAAGUGUGGGACGUGUCCUGUUUUGUAUGUACCUUAUGAAUAAGGAUCGGCUAACUCCGUGCCAGCAGCCGCGGUAAUACGGAGGAUCCGAGCGUUAUCCGGAUUUAUUGGGUUUAAAGGGUGCGUAGGCGGUCUUUUAAGUCAGCGGUGAAAGUCUGUGGCUCAACCAUAGAAUGGCCGUUGAAACUGGGAGGCUUGAGUAUGUUUGAGGCAGGCGGAAGGCGUGGUGUAGCGGUGAAAUGCUUAGAUAUCACGCAGAACCCCGAUUGCGAAGGCAGCCUGCCAAGCCAUGACUGACGCUGAUGCACGAAAGCGUGGGGAUCAAACAGGAUUAGAUACCCCAGUAGUC